Molecule: long non-coding RNA, 248 nt
Organism: Eptesicus fuscus (big brown bat)
Lineage: Eukaryota; Metazoa; Chordata; Mammalia; Chiroptera; Vespertilionidae
Exons: 2
Source: RefSeq, a predicted model, not a curated record
UGAGGGGAGCUGCCAUUACUCCACCUGCCCGGAACACACUCGGGAAGAUGGAACCUGCUACAGGGGGAGGGCCAAGUGUUGCGUCUGAGCUGGAGCCACGGGCAAGAAAAAUCCACAGGAAGUACUUAAUCAAUGGAAACAUGUCCAGGGGUGAGGAUGAAAAACAAGAAGUAAAGAUGAGCUUUGUGCUGAGGGUCCCCCAUCUUCUCAAGCUGCUGGCUCUUGAAUAAACCUGCUUUGCUCCAUCA